This 2932-nucleotide ribosomal RNA is filed under the name Escherichia coli O157:H7. RNAcentral describes it as "bacterial LSU rRNA". It matches the Rfam family "Bacterial large subunit ribosomal RNA". Lineage: Bacteria; Pseudomonadati; Pseudomonadota; Gammaproteobacteria; Enterobacterales; Enterobacteriaceae. The record is from RNAcentral.
GGGUUGUGAGGUUAAGCGACUAAGCGUACACGGUGGAUGCCCUGGCAGUCAGAGGCGAUGAAGGACGUGCUAAUCUGCGAUAAGCGUCGGUAAGGUGAUAUGAACCGUUAUAACCGGCGAUUUCCGAAUGGGGAAACCCAGUGUGAUUCGUCACACUAUCAUUAACUGAAUCCAUAGGUUAAUGAGGCGAACCGGGGGAACUGAAACAUCUAAGUACCCCGAGGAAAAGAAAUCAACCGAGAUUCCCCCAGUAGCGGCGAGCGAACGGGGAGGAGCCCAGAGCCUGAAUCAGUGUGUGUGUUAGUGGAAGCGUCUGGAAAGGCGCGCGAUACAGGGUGACAGCCCCGUACACAAAAAUGCACAUGCUGUGAGCUCGAUGAGUAGGGCGGGACACGUGGUAUCCUGUCUGAAUAUGGGGGGACCAUCCUCCAAGGCUAAAUACUCCUGACUGACCGAUAGUGAACCAGUACCGUGAGGGAAAGGCGAAAAGAACCCCGGCGAGGGGAGUGAAAAAGAACCUGAAACCGUGUACGUACAAGCAGUAGGAGCACAGAGCAAUCUGUGUGACUGCGUACCUUUUGUAUAAUGGGUCAGCGACUUAUAUUCUGUAGCAAGGUUAACCGAAUAGGGGAGCCGAAGGGAAACCGAGUCUUAACCGGGCGUUAAGUUGCAGGGUAUAGACCCGAAACCCGGUGAUCUAGCCAUGGGCAGGUUGAAGGUUGGGUAACACUAACUGGAGGACCGAACCGACUAAUGUUGAAAAAUUAGCGGAUGACUUGUGGCUGGGGGUGAAAGGCCAAUCAAACCGGGAGAUAGCUGGUUCUCCCCGAAAGCUAUUUAGGUAGCGCCUCGUGAAUUCAUCUCCGGGGGUAGAGCACUGUUUCGGCAAGGGGGUCAUCCCGACUUACCAACCCGAUGCAAACUGCGAAUACCGGAGAAUGUUAUCACGGGAGACACACGGCGGGUGCUAACGUCCGUCGUGAAGAGGGAAACAACCCAGACCGCCAGCUAAGGUCCCAAAGUCAUGGUUAAGUGGGAAACGAUGUGGGAAGGCCCAGACAGCCAGGAUGUUGGCUUAGAAGCAGCCAUCAUUUAAAGAAAGCGUAAUAGCUCACUGGUCGAGUCGGCCUGCGCGGAAGAUGUAACGGGGCUAAACCAUGCACCGAAGCUGCGGCAGCGACACUGUGUGUUGUUGGGUAGGGGAGCGUUCUGUAAGCCUGUGAAGGUGUGCUGUGAGGCAUGCUGGAGGUAUCAGAAGUGCGAAUGCUGACAUAAGUAACGAUAAAGCGGGUGAAAAGCCCGCUCGCCGGAAGACCAAGGGUUCCUGUCCAACGUUAAUCGGGGCAGGGUGAGUCGACCCCUAAGGCGAGGCCGAAAGGCGUAGUCGAUGGGAAACAGGUUAAUAUUCCUGUACUUGGUGUUACUGCGAAGGGGGGACGGAGAAGGCUAUGUUGGCCGGGCGACGGUUGUCCCGGUUUAAGCGUGUAGGCUGGUUUUCCAGGCAAAUCCGGAAAAUCAAGGCUGAGGCGUGAUGACGAGGCACUACGGUGCUGAAGCAACAAAUGCCCUGCUUCCAGGAAAAGCCUCUAAGCAUCAGGUAACAUCAAAUCGUACCCCAAACCGACACAGGUGGUCAGGUAGAGAAUACCAAGGCGCUUGAGAGAACUCGGGUGAAGGAACUAGGCAAAAUGGUGCCGUAACUUCGGGAGAAGGCACGCUGAUAUGUAGGUGAAGUCCCUCGCGGAUGGAGCUGAAAUCAGUCGAAGAUACCAGCUGGCUGCAACUGUUUAUUAAAAACACAGCACUGUGCAAACACGAAAGUGGACGUAUACGGUGUGACGCCUGCCCGGUGCCGGAAGGUUAAUUGAUGGGGUCAGCGCAAGCGAAGCUCUUGAUCGAAGCCCCGGUAAACGGCGGCCGUAACUAUAACGGUCCUAAGGUAGCGAAAUUCCUUGUCGGGUAAGUUCCGACCUGCACGAAUGGCGUAAUGAUGGCCAGGCUGUCUCCACCCGAGACUCAGUGAAAUUGAACUCGCUGUGAAGAUGCAGUGUACCCGCGGCAAGACGGAAAGACCCCGUGAACCUUUACUAUAGCUUGACACUGAACAUUGAGCCUUGAUGUGUAGGAUAGGUGGGAGGCUUUGAAGUGUGGACGCCAGUCUGCAUGGAGCCGACCUUGAAAUACCACCCUUUAAUGUUUGAUGUUCUAACGUGGACCCGUGAUCCGGGUUGCGGACAGUGUCUGGUGGGUAGUUUGACUGGGGCGGUCUCCUCCUAAAGAGUAACGGAGGAGCACGAAGGUUGGCUAAUCCUGGUCGGACAUCAGGAGGUUAGUGCAAUGGCAUAAGCCAGCUUGACUGCGAGCGUGACGGCGCGAGCAGGUGCGAAAGCAGGUCAUAGUGAUCCGGUGGUUCUGAAUGGAAGGGCCAUCGCUCAACGGAUAAAAGGUACUCCGGGGAUAACAGGCUGAUACCGCCCAAGAGUUCAUAUCGACGGCGGUGUUUGGCACCUCGAUGUCGGCUCAUCACAUCCUGGGGCUGAAGUAGGUCCCAAGGGUAUGGCUGUUCGCCAUUUAAAGUGGUACGCGAGCUGGGUUUAGAACGUCGUGAGACAGUUCGGUCCCUAUCUGCCGUGGGCGCUGGAGAACUGAGGGGGGCUGCUCCUAGUACGAGAGGACCGGAGUGGACGCAUCACUGGUGUUCGGGUUGUCAUGCCAAUGGCACUGCCCGGUAGCUAAAUGCGGAAGAGAUAAGUGCUGAAAGCAUCUAAGCACGAAACUUGCCCCGAGAUGAGUUCUCCCUGACCCUUUAAGGGUCCUGAAGGAACGUUGAAGACGACGACGUUGAUAGGCCGGGUGUGUAAGCGCAGCGAUGCGUUGAGCUAACCGGUACUAAUGAACCGUGAGGCUUAACCUUACAACGCCGAAGGUGUUU